Molecule: ribosomal RNA, 592 nt
Filed under: uncultured bacterium
Lineage: Bacteria
Description: bacterial SSU rRNA
Rfam family: Bacterial small subunit ribosomal RNA
Source: RNAcentral
AGAGUUUGAUCCUGGCUCAGAUUGAACGCUGGCGGCAUGCUUUACACAUGCAAGUCGAACGGCAGCACGGGCUUCGGCCUGGUGGCGAGUGGCGAACGGGUGAGUAAUGCAUCGGAACGUGCCCAUGUCGUGGGGGAUAACGUAGCGAAAGCUACGCUAAUACCGCAUACGCCCUGAGGGGGAAAGCGGGGGAUUCUUCGGAACCUCGCGCGAUUGGAGCGGCCGAUGUCGGAUUAGCUAGUAGGUGAGGUAAAGGCUCACCUAGGCGACGAUCCGUAGCGGGUCUGAGAGGAUGAUCCGCCACACUGGGACUGAGACACGGCCCAGACUCCUACGGGAGGCAGCAGUGGGGAAUUUUGGACAAUGGGGGCAACCCUGAUCCAGCCAUGCCGCGUGAGUGAAGAAGGCCUUCGGGUUGUAAAGCUCUUUCGGCCGGGAAGAAAUCGGCGACUCUAACAUAGUCGCUGGAUGACGGUACCGGACUAAGAAGCACCGGCUAACUACGUGCCAGCAGCCGCGGUGAUACGUAGGGUGCGAGCGUUAAUCGGAAUUACUGGGCGUAAAGCGAGCGUAGGUGGCUUGAUAAGUCAGA